This 432-nucleotide long non-coding RNA is filed under the name Pogona vitticeps (central bearded dragon). RNAcentral's name for it is "lncRNA (ENSPVIG00000020320.1)". Lineage: Eukaryota; Metazoa; Chordata; Lepidosauria; Squamata; Agamidae. The record is from RNAcentral.
AUGUCCUAUCUCAAGCCGACAGGCAGGGAACUCGAACGCUUUGACGGGCUUUCUCUCAUUUAUUGGACACUCAUGGGACCAUACGGGAUGGACCGCACCGUGCAUUGCGUUGACUUCUACGACUGCACCAACGGACUGGGUAUUAAAGUGAUUGGUGGUAUUAAAGAGCUAACCGGAGAAGAAUACGGAGUUUACGUCAAGAGAAUCUUACCGGGAGGUGUUGCUUACGCUGAUGGUAAUUGUUUAUUGCUUGCAUUUCGGGCCCCACAGCUUGUGGGGAUGACGUCUGGAGGGUCUCCAGAUCCUUCUCCUAAGUUGAGACAGUUCGGGAAUAGUUGCCCGUCAUUGCUCCGUGUGAUGUGCUGGUUAGAACUAGGACUGAGGAAAUCUCUCGUGUUUGAUUUCCUCAGUUUUUUCUUGAGGAAGCCUCAU